UCGAACGGUAACAGGUCUUCGGACGCUGACGAGUGGCGAACGGGUGAGUAAUACAUCGGAACGUGCCCAGUCGUGGGGGAUAACUACUCGAAAGAGUAGCUAAUACCGCAUACGAUCUGAGGAUGAAAGCGGGGGACCUUCGGGCCUCGCGCGAUUGGAGCGGCCGAUGGCAGAUUAGGUAGUUGGUGGGAUAAAAGCUUACCAAGCCGACGAUCUGUAGCUGGUCUGAGAGGACGACCAGCCACACUGGGACUGAGACACGGCCCAGACUCC
This 273-nucleotide ribosomal RNA is filed under the name unidentified marine bacterioplankton. RNAcentral's name for it is "partial 16S ribosomal RNA". It matches the Rfam family "Bacterial small subunit ribosomal RNA", at positions 62 to 339 of the family's 1533-position model. The record is from RNAcentral. RNAcentral also lists the same sequence under 1 other name.